CCUACGGGAGGCAGCAGUAGGGAAUAUUGCUCAAUGGGGGAAACCCUGAUGCAGCAACGCCGCGUGGAUGAUGAAGGUUUUCGGAUUGUAAACUCCUUUUGGUAGAGAAGAUAAUGACGGUAUCUAACGAAUAAGCCCCGGCUAACUCCGUGCCAGCAGCCGCGGUAAUACGGAGGGUGCAAGCGUUAUUCGGAUUCACUGGGCGUAAAGAGCGCGUAGGCGGGAGAGCAAGUCAGAUGUGAAAUCCUAUGGCUUAACCAUAGAACUGCAUUGGAAACUGUGAUUCUAGAGUGUGGGAGGGGUAGGUGGAAUUCUUGGUGUAGGGGUAAAAUCCGUAGAGAUCAAGAGGAAUACUGAUUGCGAAGGCGACCUGCUAGAACGUAACUGACGCUGAGGCGCGAAAGCGUGGGGAGCAAACAGGAUUAGAUACCCUUGUAGUC
RNAcentral lists this ribosomal RNA (440 nucleotides) under uncultured bacterium. RNAcentral's name for it is "partial 16S ribosomal RNA". It matches the Rfam family "Bacterial small subunit ribosomal RNA", at positions 338 to 795 of the family's 1533-position model. The record is from RNAcentral.